UGGGUUGUGGCUCAGUGGUAGAGCGCUUGCCUACCAUGCGUGAGGCACUGGGUUUGAUCCCCUGUACCACAU
This is a non-coding RNA of Ictidomys tridecemlineatus (thirteen-lined ground squirrel), 72 nucleotides long. Lineage: Eukaryota; Metazoa; Chordata; Mammalia; Rodentia; Sciuridae. The record is from Rfam.